AGGAGAAACAACAGUGGUGGCGGCCAGCUCUGGAGCCCUGGAAUCAGCUCCUGCAGUAACAACGGAGCUCUCGGUCAGCAGGGCCUGGAUGCUCUGGGGGCGG
Molecule: microRNA precursor, 103 nt
Filed under: Canis lupus familiaris (dog)
Lineage: Eukaryota; Metazoa; Chordata; Mammalia; Carnivora; Canidae
Description: mir-8834 microRNA precursor family
Rfam family: mir-8834 microRNA precursor family
Source: Rfam by way of RNAcentral